AUACGGAGGGUGCAAGCGUUACUCGGAAUUACUGGGCGUAAAGGACGCGUAGGCGGUUUAGAAAGUCAGAUGUGAAAGCCUAUGGCUUAACCAUAGAACUGCAUCUGAAACUCCUAGACUAGAGUGAGGGAGAGGUCAGUGGAAUUAGUGGUGUAGGGGUAAAAUCCGUAGAGAUCACUAGGAAUACUCAUAGCGAAGGCGACUGACUGGAACUUUACUGACGCUGAGGCGUGAAAGCGUGGGGAGCAAACAGGAUUAGAAACCCUAGUAGUCC
Molecule: ribosomal RNA, 274 nt
Filed under: uncultured bacterium
Lineage: Bacteria
Description: partial 16S ribosomal RNA
Rfam family: Bacterial small subunit ribosomal RNA
Source: RNAcentral